This 284-nucleotide long non-coding RNA is filed under the name Zostera marina. RNAcentral's name for it is "long non-coding RNA (ZMAR_LNC004046)". Lineage: Eukaryota; Viridiplantae; Streptophyta; Magnoliopsida; Alismatales; Zosteraceae. The record is from RNAcentral.
ACUUAUUUUAGGGAUCGACAAAUCAGUCUUCAAGUCAUUGUUUAAAAAAAAAACCCUCCAGAUUCCUCAAAGACUGCAAAACAAACUAAAAGUUGAACACAAAGAAAAGUAUUAAAAACAGGAAACGGUUCUUAUAAGAUACUUCAAUCUCACCGUUUAUCACCGAUAUUGACAUCCUCUUCACGGCAGCGAAUUUCAAGAGUUCCCAUAGGAAUGCUCUGGAGGCAAAAGCUUUGAUAGAAUGGAGUGCUGGCUCUCCGACGAUUAUCAAUCAUCCCGGCGGG